UACGGGGGGAGCAAGCGUUGUUCGGAUUUACUGGGCGUAAAGGGCGCGUAGGCGGUCGUGACAAGUCACUUGUGAAAUCUCCGGGCUUAACUCGGAACGGUCAAGUGAUACUGUCGGACUAGAGUACAGAAGGGCAACUGGAAUUCUCGGUGUAGCGGUGAGAUGCGUAGAUAUCGAGAGGAACACCUGCGGCGAAGGCGGGUUGCUGGGCUGAUACUGACGCUGAGGCGCGAAAGCCAGGGAGCGAACGGG
This 252-nucleotide ribosomal RNA is filed under the name uncultured bacterium. RNAcentral's name for it is "partial 16S ribosomal RNA". It matches the Rfam family "Bacterial small subunit ribosomal RNA", at positions 524 to 776 of the family's 1533-position model. The record is from RNAcentral.